Molecule: microRNA, 23 nt
Filed under: Magallana gigas (Pacific oyster)
Lineage: Eukaryota; Metazoa; Mollusca; Bivalvia; Ostreida; Ostreidae
Description: Mgi-Mir-67-P5_5p* (star (passenger))
Source: RNAcentral
CCUUAUUCAACCUGGUUGUGGUG